UGUAAUUUCAUUUUCUUUUUAAAUAUAAAAUCUUGCCUUUGUUACAGCCAAAUUAUAAUUCUUGAGUGCUAACAUGUUGUAUAAAAACAAAGGAAUAUGCUCUUUUGGAGGAAAUUUUUCCUUUCUUAGAAUGUGGUUGUAGUCAUCCUAUUUCAGUGCUUUACACUGUACUUUUUGGUGUUUUUUGGAAAAGUUACCUUUAGAUCUGAAGCUGUUCAUUUUUAACAAAUAAAAUAUUACAGG
This 243-nucleotide long non-coding RNA is filed under the name Bos taurus (domestic cattle). Its description in RNAcentral is "long non-coding RNA NONBTAT000680". Lineage: Eukaryota; Metazoa; Chordata; Mammalia; Artiodactyla; Bovidae. The record is from RNAcentral.